GCCGCCGUAGCUCUGUGGUCAGAUCGUCGGGCUAGCAAUCCGGGGCUCGCGGGUUCAAAUCUCCGCCGUGAAA
Non-coding RNA from Acanthoscelides obtectus, 73 nucleotides. The record is from the annotation of a GenBank genome assembly. Lineage: Eukaryota; Metazoa; Arthropoda; Insecta; Coleoptera; Chrysomelidae.